This is a long non-coding RNA of Rhipicephalus microplus (southern cattle tick), 557 nucleotides long. Lineage: Eukaryota; Metazoa; Arthropoda; Arachnida; Ixodida; Ixodidae. The record is from RefSeq and is a predicted model, not a curated record.
ACCACUGUUUACGUCUAUUUCAGAGCGCGCAUCUUUCUGUACUGUCAAGCGACCUCAGCGACUCUCAUACUGGCGCUACCUUUGGCGGCACUCUCGAUUACAGCGGCCUCCCGUCGCAAACGGCCCUGCCUUGCGCACGGGACACCGCUCUCCGCAACUGCUGUGGACGGAAAGUCCACCGGGUCUUAGUCCUGAGGGCAAGAGUGGCAGCCGAGUCUUGUAGUGUCCCGGACUGAGAACACCAACCAUCAGGGCUGAAACUUCUCUACUAUUAUGGACAACCAGACUCGCACAUGCGAAAGUGUCGCUAUGGUCUGGCACCUCAGCACUCGUCAUGGCAAAAUCAACAGGGGCGUUCGCCCGGUCAACGAGGCAGUCGGCCCUGCAUUCCCUUUGGUUGGAGGAGACGACGUAUAUGAAAAGAGUUGUCAUUUUGCAUGACUGCUCACGCCAAACAGGAGCGACAGAAUAGCAAGUCACAAGUCUGAUGUUUCCAGCCGGCACCGCUUUUCAAUUUAUUCAUAAUUAUUAAGAAUAAAUAUGGAAACAUGAUGCCU